CAGCAGACACUGAAAGGACUCUGAUAGUUCGAGUGAAAGUAGCAGUUCCUCCUGAAGGUCAGAGAUUGCAGCAUCUGAGGGCCUCUUCAAAAGAAGACGUAGUUGAUGAAGGCGUUCUGGAGCAGGACCAGAAAGACCACGACCAAGCAGCCUUGAGAUCUUAGGCAGCGUCUCCCUCAGGUCCCUCUCUAUCUCCCCACACAUCCACCAACCACUGGAACACAUCUCCAAAGUUCUGCUGGACCAGCUCAGCUUCCCCUCAGAAGAAGUGCUGCCACCUGCCAGAUGAAGGAGCCUUUUGAGAGGCAGCUGGCAUCGUGAUUGGACUGUACUUUGGUCUGUUCCAAUCCAGCUUCAGCUCCAGAGACGGCAGGCGGGACGAGUCAACGGAGGCCUGGUGGACGAAGGCAUGCAGCUGAGUACAAUCCAGAAAACAGAGGAGGAGGAAACAAACAUAGUAGUAUAGUAUAAAAUAUACAUAGUAUAUUGUAUAAAUAACAAGUCAAAGGAAAGAGACAUACAUUGUAGAAUUGUAGUAAUUGUGG
Amphiprion ocellaris (clown anemonefish) is the source of this 545-nucleotide long non-coding RNA. The record is from Ensembl. Lineage: Eukaryota; Metazoa; Chordata; Actinopteri; Pomacentridae.